Lycium barbarum (goji berry) is the source of this 553-nucleotide long non-coding RNA. RefSeq lists it as uncharacterized. The transcript has 2 exons. The record is from RefSeq and is a predicted model, not a curated record. Lineage: Eukaryota; Viridiplantae; Streptophyta; Magnoliopsida; Solanales; Solanaceae.
AAUUGUUGUUUGUUGUGGAAACUAAGAACUAUAUAGAUCAUAAUAAAUUCUAGUCGAUGUUAGUUAAACUAAUUGCCUUUGUUUUACAACUAUCUAGGGUGAUAAGUGGUCCAGCAUUACUUGGGUCGAUCAUCUUCUCUGACACGGGAGGAAGCAUAGGCCGAAAAGGUGGUCAUUGUACCUGUAGGAUACACAUCCAGCAUCCAGCCAUUCGGCUUUUUUGUGAUUCUUUUUCGAUUAAACAAUCAUGAAGCUUCUAUACAUUAGGUUGUCAUACGAACAUAGUAACUAUUAGGUCUAAUUGGAUGUUGUUACUACACAUUUAUCUCUGCUUAGUUGUUUAGAUUUAGCAACAAAUUUGGCUAGGUUACUAAAGAAAAGUAAGGAGGAGUUUGUCUAGAAGAUAUAAAAUAAAGGUAAAUCGAUAUUGUUGUUUCCUUGUUUCUUUUGUUUAGACUUUUUAUUUUUUUAUUUUUCUUAUUUCGAUACAAUUUCAUGUCACGUGGUGUACUUUUGGGAACUAUGAACACGAUACCUUUUAUGUAUUUUGCUA